This 426-nucleotide ribosomal RNA is filed under the name uncultured bacterium. Its description in RNAcentral is "bacterial SSU rRNA". It matches the Rfam family "Bacterial small subunit ribosomal RNA", at positions 29 to 460 of the family's 1533-position model. The record is from RNAcentral.
AGCGAACGUUUGUGGCGGGCCUAACACAUGCAAGUCGAACGCACUAGCAAUAGUGAGUGGCGCACGGGUGCGUAACACGUGGGUAAUCAACCCUUCAGCCUGGGAUAACGACUCGAAAGGGUCGCUAAUACCGGAUACGGCGCGAGAGGCUUCGGCUUCUCACGAGAAAGCCACGCAAGGGGCACUGAAGGACGAGCCUGCGGCCCAUCAGCUAGUUGGUGAGGUAAGAGCUCACCAAGGCUAAGACGGGUAGCUGGUCUGAGAGGAUGAUCAGCCACACUGGAACUGAGACACGGUCCAGACUCCUACGGGAGGCAGCAGUGGGGAAUAUUGCGCAAUGGGCGAAAGCCUGACGCAGCCACGCCGCGUGAGCGAUGAAGGCCUCGGUCGUAAGACGUCUGUGGGAGGAGACGAAGAAAGACCUGU